This 460-nucleotide ribosomal RNA is filed under the name uncultured bacterium. RNAcentral's name for it is "partial 16S ribosomal RNA". It matches the Rfam family "Bacterial small subunit ribosomal RNA", at positions 338 to 795 of the family's 1533-position model. The record is from RNAcentral.
CCUACGGGAGGCAGCAGUGAGGAAUAUUGGUCAAUGGACGAGAGUCUGAACCAGCCAAGUAGCGUGAAGGAUGACUGCCCUAUGGGUUGUAAACUUCUUUUAUAUGGGAAUAAAAUGUUCCACGUGUGGGAUUUUGUAUGUACCAGAUGAAUAAGGAUCGGCUAACUCCGUGCCAGCAGCCGCGGUAAUACGGAGGAUUCGAGCGUUAUCCGGAUUUAUUGGGUUUAAAGGGAGCGUAGGGGGAUUGUUAAGUCAGUUGUGAAAGUUUGCGGCUCAACCCUAAAAUUGCAGUUGAAACUGGCAGUCUUGAGUACAGUAGAGGUGGGCGGAAUUCGUGGUGUAGCGGUGAAAUGCUUAGAUAUCACGAAGAACUCCGAUUGCGAAGGCAGUUCACUGGACUGCAACUGACACUGAGGCUCGAAAGUGUGGGUAUCAAACAGGAUUGGAUACCCUGGUAGUC